Molecule: ribosomal RNA, 253 nt
Filed under: uncultured bacterium
Lineage: Bacteria
Description: partial 16S ribosomal RNA
Rfam family: Bacterial small subunit ribosomal RNA
Source: RNAcentral
UACGGAGGGUGCGAGCGUUGUCCGGAAUCACUGGGCGUAAAGGGCGCGUAGGUGGCGACUCAAGUCAACGGUGAAAGCUCGACGCUCAACGUCGAGUCGGCCGUCGAAACUGGGGCGCUUGAGCACUGUAGAGGCAGAUGGAAUUCCGGGUGUAGCGGUGGAAUGCGUAGAGAUCCGGAAGAACACCGGUGGCGAAGGCGGUCUGCUGGGCAGUUGCUGACACUGAUGCGCGACAGCGUGGGGAGCAAACAGG